RNAcentral lists this small RNA (28 nucleotides) under Bombyx mori (domestic silkworm). RNAcentral describes it as "piRNA piR-bmo-2148931". The record is from RNAcentral. Lineage: Eukaryota; Metazoa; Arthropoda; Insecta; Lepidoptera; Bombycidae.
UAAGUUUCUAUUUGGGACAAGUGAAAGC